This 62-nucleotide microRNA precursor is filed under the name Callorhinchus milii (elephant shark). RNAcentral's name for it is "Cmi-Mir-193-P1a_pre stem-loop". The record is from RNAcentral. Lineage: Eukaryota; Metazoa; Chordata; Chondrichthyes; Chimaeriformes; Callorhinchidae.
CGGGGUUUUGGGGGCGAGAUGAGAUAUUUCAUACAAAACCAACUGGCCUGCAAAGUCCCGCC